UCAUGAUGUUCUUGUCGUAGUAAUACCUGCAAACAGAACAGGCUGGUUCGAAUACACCCUGAGGAUCAUUCAGGGAGCUGUUAGCGGAUCAAACGAAGUUACGUGUUCAUUCUUCCUUUAUAGCCAGGGGAUGUCGAGAGUCAGUGGGAGCCAUUUUCUGGGUAACACUGGGUUAGGGUUGUUACGUUGUUGGUAUACUGAUUAUUAGAUUUUAUUAGUGGGGUCAAAGUUUAUUUUCAAAGCAAGCUGUUUUGUAAAAUGUUUGUGAGUUUUUGACUAACAAUUAGAUUGACUGGGUGUGUCAAUAAAAUGUACACAUACUGUUCAAUAAUCUUGCUGUCUUAUUAAUCAGACUGUUCUAUUAAUUUAUUUAAUGGUUUCAGUUAGAACAUUGUGACAGAAAGGCAACGACAUCUUAUCUUAUUAGAUUGACUGUGUGUUUCAAUAAAAUUUAGAACAUUGUGACAGAAAGGCAACGACAUCUUAUCUUAUUAGAUUGACUGGGUGUUUCAAUAAAAUCUAGAAGCAUGUAACAGAAAGACAUCCACGUUAUCCCAGGAUCACAGGUCAAAGAACGUGCAGUAAACAGUCAAUGAUGUUAAGUGUUGCACCAACGAAAAAUAAAGUCAAGACUCGAAGGAUAUUCGAAGCCAUAAGCGACCCUUGCAUUUUCACGAAGCUUUGAACGUACCACGAGAUAUGAUCGAGCGAAGUCCACGGACGCGUUCUGCCAUAAAGUCGCGAUUUACGAAGCCGCUAGGAAACGACGAGGGUCGUAAAAAUCCCGCGCAACCACGGAGUCUUAUUUAAUAAAUUCCAUUUGCCAGCGUCGAUAACGGUGCCGCUUCCGCUACGACGGAAACGCUUUUCAUUUUUCUAUUUUUUCUUUCUUUUUAUUUUUUUUCGUCGAGUUACCGGGCGCGGCUUGCAAACUUCUCGCCCGGCACGGGGGACGGAGAGAAAUAGAGAGAGAGUCGAGCAGUCUCGCGUAAUAUAAUCAGUCGAUCUGAUCGAAAAAUAAUAGCCGCGUCUGCCGUCGGUCUGACUGUCGGUGAUUGAAAUUUCUCUCCCCUGCUUUCCCACCCUCCUUUCUAUACCAUGGUUGCUCAUACCGUUUCGUUCAACGAAUUUACUUUCUCCACCGAUCUUCCAUGUCUGCGCGCUAAAUAUCGACGUUUCGCCGUGUUUCUGUCACGAGGAUGCGGUUUAAUACGAACAUUGUCAUGACAGUCAUCGGCGACACGAAUUUAAUUCGAUUAAAUAAUUAUGGAAUAUCAAGAGGAAUAGAUGUUUUAUUAAUAGUACGUUGUGCGAUAUAAUGCGCGGCUAUAGAGCGACGGUAUAAUGCGCGGCUGUGUAAUGCGAUGAUGUAAUGCAUGACGUUGCAACGUGUAGAUAUGUCAUGUGUAGAGAUACAAUACGUCGUGAUACAAUAUGUAACGAUAUAACGCGUACAACGGAAGUACAACGCGUGACAAACUGGAGGCGUGGCGAUACAACGCGUUGUAAAUGCAAUACGUGACAAGUACAACGCGUGACAAAUUGGGGACGUAGAUAACAACGCGUAGUAAACAUAACGCGUGGCACAUACAACUCUUAAUAAAUGCGAUGCGUGGAAAAUACAACAGCCGAUGUAAUUGUUACACGUAAUGUAUUGCAAAUGCAAGGCAAAUAUGACACGCGACAAACUUCGCGUGCCGCAAAUAUACGGCGUAGUAAAUAUGUAACAAAUUCAACGCGUGGAAGUAGAACGAGCGGCGAUAAAAUAAUUAGCGAUA
Long non-coding RNA from Megachile rotundata (alfalfa leafcutting bee), 1778 nucleotides. RefSeq lists it as uncharacterized. Lineage: Eukaryota; Metazoa; Arthropoda; Insecta; Hymenoptera; Megachilidae. The record is from RefSeq and is a predicted model, not a curated record.